RNAcentral lists this transfer RNA (72 nucleotides) under Camelus bactrianus (Bactrian camel). It matches the Rfam family "tRNA". From Rfam's summary of the family: Transfer RNA (tRNA) molecules are approximately 80 nucleotides in length. RNAcentral also lists the same sequence under 2 other names. The record is from Rfam by way of RNAcentral. Lineage: Eukaryota; Metazoa; Chordata; Mammalia; Artiodactyla; Camelidae.
GAGGGUAUAGCUCAGUGGUAGAGCAUGUGCUUAGCAUGCACGAGGUUCUGGGUUCAAUCCCCAGUACCUCUA